AUGCAGUCGAGGGGCAGCAUGAUUUGUAGCAAUACAGAUUGAUGGCGACCGGCGCACGGGUGAGUAACGCGUAUGCAACUUACCUAUCAGAGGGGGAUAGCCCGGCGAAAGUCGGAUUAAUACCCCAUAAAACAGGGGUCCCGCAUGGGAAUAUUUGUUAAAGAUUCAUCGCUGAUAGAUAGGCAUGCGUUCCAUUAGGCAGUUGGCGGGGUAACGGCCCACCAAACCGGCGAUGGAUAGGGGCUCUGAGAGGAAGGUCCCCCACAUUGGUACUGAGACACGGACCAAACUCCUACGGGAGGCAGCAGUGAGGAAUAUUGGUCAAUGGCCGAGAGGCUGAACCAGCCAAGUCGCGUGAAGGAAGAAGGAUCUAUGGUUUGUAAACUUCUUUUAUAGGGGAAUAAAGUGGAGGACGUGUCCUUUUUUGUAUGUACCCUAUGAAUAAGCAUCGGCUAACUCCGUGCCAGCAGCCGCGGUAAUACGGAGGAUGCGAGCGUUAUCCGGAUUUAUUGGGUUUAAAGGGUGCGUAGGUGGUGAUUUAAGUCAGCGGUGAAAGUUUGUGGCUCAACCAUAAAAUUGCCGUUGAAACUGGGUUACUUGAGUGUGUUUGAGGUAGGCGGAAUGCGUGGUGUAGCGGUGAAAUGCAU
This 647-nucleotide ribosomal RNA is filed under the name uncultured bacterium. RNAcentral describes it as "bacterial SSU rRNA". It matches the Rfam family "Bacterial small subunit ribosomal RNA", at positions 55 to 691 of the family's 1533-position model. The record is from RNAcentral.